Molecule: ribosomal RNA, 446 nt
Filed under: uncultured bacterium
Lineage: Bacteria
Description: bacterial SSU rRNA
Rfam family: Bacterial small subunit ribosomal RNA
Source: RNAcentral
GGCCAGACUCCUACGGGAGGCAGCAGUGGGAAAUAUUGCACAAUGGGGGAAACCCUGAUGCAGCGACGCCGCGUGAGCGAAGAAGUAUUUCGGUAUGUAAAGCUCUCUCAGCAGGGAAGAAAAUGACGGUACCUGAUUAAGAAGCCCCGGCUAACUACGUGCCAGCAGCCGCGGUAAUACGUAGGGGGCAAGCGUUAUCCGGAUUUACUGGGUGUAAAGGGAGCGUAGACGGUUACGCAAGUCUGGAGUGAAAGGCGGGGGCCCAACCCCCGGACUGCUUUGGAAACUGUAUAACUGGAGUGCAGGAGAGGUAAGUGGAAUUCCUAGUGUAGCGGUGAAAUGCGUAGAUAUUAGGAGGAACACCAGUGGCGAAGGCGGCUUACUGGACUGUAACUGACGUUGAGGCUCGAAAGCGUGGGGAGCAAACAGGAUUAGAUACCCUGGUA